RNAcentral lists this long non-coding RNA (1853 nucleotides) under Heterocephalus glaber (naked mole-rat). RNAcentral describes it as "lncRNA (ENSHGLG00000037166.1)". The record is from RNAcentral. Lineage: Eukaryota; Metazoa; Chordata; Mammalia; Rodentia; Bathyergidae.
CUGCUAUCAAGAAGUCAGCCAAUAAUAAAUGCUGGCGGGGUUGUGGAGAGAAAGGAACCCUUCUCCACUGUUGGUGGGAGUGCAGACUGGUGCAACCACUGUGGAAAUCAGUAUGGAGAUUCCUCAAAAAACUAAAACUAGAGGUUUCAUUCAACACAGCUACUUCCCUUCCUGCUAUCUUCCCAAAAGAAUUAAAAGCAACAUACUAUAGUGAUAUAUGCACACCCAUAUUUAUAGCGGCACAGUUUGUAAUACUUCGUUAAAUCUUGGAAAGAGCCCAAGUGCCCAUCACCAAUGAAUGGAUAAAGAAAAUGUGGGGUUUUUUUACACAAUGGAGUACUACUCUGCCAUAGAGAAGGAUAAACAUGGGACAUUUCUAGCUAAAUGGAUGCACCUUGAGACCAUACUUUUUUUGUUUGUUUGGGGGGGUUUUGUUGUUGUUUUCUUUUUUUUCUUUGGUACUGGGGAGCGAACUCAGGACCUUGGGCUUGUGAGGCAGGUGGGGUGGUUUGGGCUGGCCUCAAACUCAUGGUGAGCCUCCUGCCUCACCCUCCCAAGAGCUGGGAUUGCCAGUGUGUGCCCCCAAGCCCAGUGAGACCAUACUCUUAAGUGAAAUUAACCAGACACACAUGUUCAAAUAUCACAUUGUUUCCCUAAUGUGAGCAACCAAAAGUGUAGAAAAAGAACCAAAAUGUAUAAUAGACAUUGGGAAAUGGGAAGAAAAAUGUUCAGAUGAGAAGGGGAACAAAGGAGGGGGAAGGGGAAAGGAAGGAAGGGAAAAGAAAAAUAGGAUAGAAGGAAAAAAUGGAAAUGAAGCUUUUGUAAAUGAGAAGAGGAAUUGAAGGGAGGGGAGGGAUUAGAGAAAAAAGAAGACUCAAGUUAUAUCAUGUACACUCCCUACUAUGAGUAUGAUCACCAUGUAUAUCUAAAAUGUGCCAAUAAAAUUAAUUUUUUUUAAAAAGAGACGAAGAGCCCCAGGAAUGAGUUGGGAGGUCACAGAGCACAUGGCCACCUCAGCACUCGCUGCCUGUUGCCUGAGCACCUGCUUCAUAAUCUGCCCAGGCCUUGGGGCGUUUCCCGUGAGCUCCCGGGGGUCGGUGCCGGUGCCGCACAUUCCAGACUGGAAAAAGCUAAGCAGACCCGUGGGAAUGAACUUUACCCAGGCCUCCUCGUGCGUGCCCCACCAAGGUCCUGCCCCUGAGCUCCAUCCCCAGCCCUAGCAGGGACUUUCAUUCAAUGAUAACUACAGAACAUUCCAGCUAACGGAGGUCAUGAUUCCGAAUUCAAAGCCAAGGGCAACUAUAUGCUGUCUACGUGAGACCCAGAUACAUUCCAGCCUUACAAAAAUGUUGAAAACUUUUAGAAUGGAGAAAACAUGUACCAUGUGAACACAAUAAGAAGGGUCUCCCUAUGUAGCCUAUGUUGGCCUCGAGCUUGCAGUGAUCCUCCUGCAUCAGGCCCAAGUGCUGGGAUUACAGGUGUGCGCCAGCAUGCCCAACAAGACAUCUUCAUGAUCCUGUCAAGCCCGAUUCCCAGGGUAGAUUUAAUAGUGUAAAACUAUAUAGCCAUAAAAUUUAGAAAAGAAAAAAAUGACACCAUUAUCAGGGUAAAUAGACAAACACAGUCAUUAUGGGAAUCUCAAUUUACCUGUUUCAGGAACUAAUUGAACAGUAAGACAAAGACCUACCUGUAAGGAGCUAGGAGAUUUUAUCAACACGAAUUUGACCUGUGCCCAAAUAUAUAGCGCGUGAACAUACACUACUCUCAAGGGCACGGAGCAUGCGCAUGACUGUGCUGGGCUCUCAGUGCCUUCCUCGCUCCAGGAGUAACAGAGCCCUGUUCUCUGCCCGCAG